UUUUAUUAUUAGUUUAGAUUUAUUAAUUUUUAGAUAAUUUAUUAAUAUAUUAAAUAAAAUAUUGGUUUAUAAGUAAAAAUGAUUAAAUUAGUAUAAUUUUUUGUUAAGUUAAUUAUAAUUUUUAGAUAAAAUUAAGGAAUUCGGCAAAUUUAUUUUCUGCCUGUUUAUUAAAAACAUGUCUUUUUGUAAUUAUUUAAAGUCGAGCCUGCCCUAUGAUUAUUUAAAUGGCCGCGGUAUUUUGACCGUGCAAAGGUAGCAUAAUAAUUAGUUUCUUAAUUAGAAGCUGGUAUGAAUGGUUUGACAAGAAAAUUUCUGUCUCAAUUUUAAUAUUAGAAUUUAACUUUUUAGUUAAAAGGCUUAAAUUAUUUUAAAAGACGAGAAGACCCUAUAGAAUUUUAUAUAUAUAUUUUAUUUAAAAUUUUAUGGAUUAUUUAUUUUUAAUUAAAUUAUUUAUUUUGUUGGGGUGAUGGAAAAAUUUAAUGAACUUUUUCUUAUUUUAUUCAUUGAUUUAUGA
RNAcentral lists this ribosomal RNA (514 nucleotides) under Platycerus caraboides. RNAcentral describes it as "partial 16S ribosomal RNA". The stretch from base 127 to 326 matches the Rfam family "Archaeal large subunit ribosomal RNA", at positions 1797 to 2106 of the family's 2987-position model. Lineage: Eukaryota; Metazoa; Arthropoda; Insecta; Coleoptera; Lucanidae. The record is from RNAcentral.